RNAcentral lists this non-coding RNA (126 nucleotides) under Runella slithyformis. Its description in RNAcentral is "SAM-I sequence". It matches the Rfam family "SAM riboswitch aptamer (S box leader)". Rfam says of the family: The SAM riboswitch is found upstream of a number of genes which code for proteins involved in methionine or cysteine biosynthesis in Gram-positive bacteria. The SAM riboswitch acts at the level of transcription termination control. RNAcentral also lists the same sequence under 1 other name. The record is from RNAcentral. Lineage: Bacteria; Pseudomonadati; Bacteroidota; Cytophagia; Cytophagales; Spirosomataceae.
GAUUUAUAAAGAAGAGGGGAGAGAAUAGGCUCCGCGAACCUCUGGCAACCUGUUUCCAAAUACACGAGAUAAGGUGCUAAUUCCUACCUAAGCGGUCGCAACAACGACCCUCAGGGGAUAUAAAUC